AUGCAGAAGAGAGUGAUGACUAAA
This 24-nucleotide non-coding RNA is filed under the name Arabidopsis thaliana (thale cress). The record is from RNAcentral. Lineage: Eukaryota; Viridiplantae; Streptophyta; Magnoliopsida; Brassicales; Brassicaceae.